RNAcentral lists this transfer RNA (75 nucleotides) under Pedobacter ginsengiterrae. RNAcentral describes it as "tRNA-Asn". It matches the Rfam family "tRNA". From Rfam's summary of the family: Transfer RNA (tRNA) molecules are approximately 80 nucleotides in length. Their secondary structure includes four short double-helical elements and three loops (D, anti-codon, and T loops). Lineage: Bacteria; Pseudomonadati; Bacteroidota; Sphingobacteriia; Sphingobacteriales; Sphingobacteriaceae. The record is from RNAcentral. RNAcentral also lists the same sequence under 7 other names.
UCCUUCUUAGCUCAGCUGGUUAGAGCAUCUGACUGUUAAUCAGAGGGUCGCUGGUUCGAGCCCAGCAGAGGGAGC